AUGAUUUGCAUUAGCUGGAAGGGCCGGGGGCUUGGAAACCCCUAGGCAGUUCGGGAGCUUCGCCGACUGGUGAAGCAAGAAGGGCCUGCCCUAUUGUUCAUAAUGUAGACUAAAAUCAGGGCUAAGAGAGUGGAAGACCUGCGAUAUCAAUUCGGUUUCUCAGGUUGUUUCGCAGUCGACAGUGCUGGAAUGGGUGGUGGAAUUGGGCUUUACUGGUCCAAUGAUGUGGAUGUUAACUUGAAAAAUUAUAGC
Molecule: ribosomal RNA, 252 nt
Filed under: Triticum aestivum (bread wheat)
Lineage: Eukaryota; Viridiplantae; Streptophyta; Magnoliopsida; Poales; Poaceae
Description: partial small subunit ribosomal RNA
Source: RNAcentral